UACGGAGGGAGCUAGCGUUGUUCGGAUAUACUGGGCGUAAAGCGCACGUAAGCGGCGCAGCAAGUCAGGGGUGAAAUCCCGGAGCUCAACUCCGGAACUGCCUUUGAAACUGCAGUGCUAGAAUCCUGGAGAGGCGAGUGGAAUUCCGAGUGUAGAGGUGAAAUUCGUAGAUAUUCGGAAGAACACCAGUGGCGAAGGCGACUCGCUGGACAGGUAUUGACGCUGAGGUGCGAAAGCGUGGGGAGCAAACAGG
RNAcentral lists this ribosomal RNA (253 nucleotides) under uncultured bacterium. RNAcentral's name for it is "partial 16S ribosomal RNA". It matches the Rfam family "Bacterial small subunit ribosomal RNA", at positions 524 to 776 of the family's 1533-position model. The record is from RNAcentral.